Molecule: ribosomal RNA, 600 nt
Filed under: Pseudomonas sp. M5
Lineage: Bacteria; Pseudomonadati; Pseudomonadota; Gammaproteobacteria; Pseudomonadales; Pseudomonadaceae
Description: bacterial SSU rRNA
Rfam family: Bacterial small subunit ribosomal RNA
Source: RNAcentral
GCAAGUCGAGCGGUAGAGAGAAGCUUGCUUCUCUUGAGAGCGGCGGACGGGUGAGUAAUGCCUAGGAAUCUGCCUGGUAGUGGGGGAUAACGUUCGGAAACGGACGCUAAUACCGCAUACGUCCUACGGGAGAAAGCAGGGGACCUUCGGGCCUUGCGCUAUCAGAUGAGCCUAGGUCGGAUUAGCUAGUUGGUGGGGUAAUGGCUCACCAAGGCGACGAUCCGUAACUGGUCUGAGAGGAUGAUCAGUCACACUGGAACUGAGACACGGUCCAGACUCCUACGGGAGGCAGCAGUGGGGAAUAUUGGACAAUGGGCGAAAGCCUGAUCCAGCCAUGCCGCGUGUGUGAAGAAGGUCUUCGGAUUGUAAAGCACUUUAAGUUGGGAGGAAGGGUUGUAGAUUAAUACUCUGCAAUUUUGACGUUACCGACAGAAUAAGCACCGGCUAACUCUGUGCCAGCAGCCGCGGUAAUACAGAGGGUGCAAGCGUUAAUCGGAAUUACUGGGCGUAAAGCGCGCGUAGGUGGUUAGUUAAGUUGGAUGUGAAAUCCCCGGGCUCAACCUGGGAACUGCAUUCAAAACUGACUGACUAGAGUAUGGU